Molecule: unclassified non-coding RNA, 205 nt
Filed under: Hevea brasiliensis (rubber tree)
Lineage: Eukaryota; Viridiplantae; Streptophyta; Magnoliopsida; Malpighiales; Euphorbiaceae
Source: RNAcentral
UUAGUUGAGUUGAGUUGAGUAGGAAUAUUUGGUAAAGUUGUUGAUGAUGAUAUGGCCAGAAUUUUUUUUUUUUUUCUGAACCACACUAGUGCUACUGCUGUUCUUUUACCUAAAUUAAUCAAUUCCAUCAAUAUUAUCAAAAUAUUUUCAUCAAUGGGUAAAAAUCCAAAUGUUGGCUCUUCUAAUGACAGGACCAGGGGAAAAU